UACUAGGGUACGUCAUAGACGCCAUUUUGUCUGUCGCGGUUUGACGUAUCGACUCCUCAUUCGUUAACCUCUGCUCGCGGAGUUCAAGGGCAUAGCUGUUGAAUAUAUGCCUAAAUGUAAAAUGCCUAAUAUAAAAAGGACCUGAUCGCGUUAAUGCUGAUGGUCAACUAUAGUGGUAAACCGUAGUAAUAAUACCCGAAGCACCGUUGUGGUCAAGUAAGGUCCACGUUUGUGUAGCGGCAAAUAACAGUCACACUGUGAUUGAAGGUUUUUUUUUUUUAUCGUUUUGUUUGCCAUGGAUUGGUUAGUUAGUUUAGCUAACCGAAGCUACACAAGCCUAACAGCUAGCGAAACCGUUAGCUUACGCUAGCCACCUCCACACACACACACACACACACACACACAGGCAUUUGACGAUCGUAUCCAAGCUGUUAUUGAAUAAACUUCAACUUCAACCACUACUUAACACGUACGACCUCCUGUAAAGGUUUACCUACAGAGAGGCACACCUAGGAACCAAAGCAACAUCCAUGGACCCACACCUGGCAUACUAAGCACCUGAAGAGCCAACACAAAGCCGAUCAGGACAUGCCCCCCACUUUACUCCGCUUUUCCCCCUCACUAUGGCUCCCUUGAAGUAUCCCUUAGAACAGGCAUGCAAUUGUUAACACAUUUAAUACCCAUUUGUUUACAUAUUUACUACAAACAUGUUCCUACCUAAACUGACAUGUAAAAGAAGGGAUCCUUGGAACUGGGGUACUCUUCUUUUUGCUGGACCACUGGUCAGGAACUACCAUGCUUACUGUUUCAGCAAUAGUGAGGUUAUGGCUGCAAUAUCAGUGGUACACUGCUCUACGGUGUCCUCGACAUCGCCCACGGAGGAGUGUAAAUGGAAGAGACUAUGCUGCUGAGGUAAAUGUCCCUGUGAUCCUGAUUUUCAUUACAAUAUUAUGUCUGGUCCACUGUUUUAAUAUUGUCGCUCGGCCAACCUGUGCUUUUAUGGAUCCUGGGGUUAGGGCUGGCCCUGAUAGUGUUGUUGCCCUAGCCAAGACUUUACAUUGCCCCCCCCCCCCCCCAAACUAUGACACACUAUGCUCUACCUCCAAAUGAUGAUACUGAUCUCACUUCUAUUGAAUACUAAGAUACUAAUUUAUAUUAAUUGAUGUUUGCAUGCUCGUCCAUGAAACAUGACCUGUUGUAUUUCAUUUGAUAGCUAUUUCAAUGUUCAGAAAGGGUAUGGGGUGGUAGUAGAGUAGUUCAGUAAGAGGAUGACGGUAGUGCCAAGUAUCCCUUCCUUUUCACAUUUGAAUUUCAGGAGGACAUAAAAAUGUUUUUAGACGAUUGUGUGUUUGCACAAGGCCUCACAGCUGCGAGCAGAUUUUUGUAAAUCAACCCAUGGUAAGGAGGAGUGCAGUGAAGCAAGGGAUCCUGAGUAAUUGUUGGUUCAUGACCUCAGCAUACAGAGACCCUCCACCUGAAGACCUAACUUCCUGCAAUCACCCGACACUAAAUGUCUUACAUUGAAAUAAAAGAUAAAACAACUCUGUA
Clupea harengus (Atlantic herring) is the source of this 1548-nucleotide long non-coding RNA. RefSeq lists it as uncharacterized. The record is from RefSeq and is a predicted model, not a curated record. Lineage: Eukaryota; Metazoa; Chordata; Actinopteri; Clupeiformes; Clupeidae.